UAUAAGUGAUGGCGACCGGCGCACGGGUGAGUAACACGUAUCCAACCUGCCGAUAGCUCGGGGAUAGCCUUUCGAAAGAAAGAUUAAUACCCGAUGGUAUAAUAAAACCGCAUGGUUUAAUUAUUAAAGAAUUUCGGUUAUCGAUGGGGAUGCGUUCCAUUAGGCAGUUGGUGAGGUAACGGCUCACCAAACCUUCGAUGGAUAGGGGUUCUGAGAGGAAGGUCCCCCACAUUGGAACUGAGACACGGUCCAA
This 253-nucleotide ribosomal RNA is filed under the name uncultured bacterium. Its description in RNAcentral is "partial 16S ribosomal RNA". It matches the Rfam family "Bacterial small subunit ribosomal RNA", at positions 80 to 334 of the family's 1533-position model. The record is from RNAcentral.